GUGCUCCCUUUGGCAGCACAUAUACUAAAUCAGAACGGUGCAGAGAUGAGCAUGGCCCCUGUGCGAGGAUGUCAUGCAAAAUCAUUAAGGUUCCAACUGAAUA
Molecule: small nuclear RNA, 103 nt
Organism: Jaculus jaculus (lesser Egyptian jerboa)
Lineage: Eukaryota; Metazoa; Chordata; Mammalia; Rodentia; Dipodidae
Source: Ensembl